GAUGAACGCUGGCGGCGUGCCUAAUACAUGCAAGUCGAGCGAACAGACGAGGAGCUUGCUCCUCUUACGUUAGCGGCGGACGGGUGAGUAACACGUGGAUAACCUACCUAUAAGACUGGGAUAACUUCGGGAAACCGGAGCUAAUACCGGAUAAUAUAUUGAACCGCAUGGUUCAAUAGUGAAAGACGGUUUUGCUGUCACUUAUAGAUGGAUCCGCGCCGCAUUAGCUAGUUGGUAAGGUAACGGCUUACCAAGGCAACGAUGCGUAGCCGACCUGAGAGGGUGAUCGGCCACACUGGAACUGAGACACGGUCCAGACUCCUACGGGAGGCAGCAGUAGGGAAUCUUCCGCAAUGGGCGAAAGCCUGACGGAGCAAAGCCGCGUGAGUGAUGAAGGUCUUCGGAUCGUAAAACACUGUUAUUAGGGAAGAAAAAAUGUGUAAGUAACUAUGCAGGUCUUGACGGUACCUAAUCAGAAAGCCACGGCUAACUACGUG
Molecule: ribosomal RNA, 497 nt
Filed under: uncultured bacterium
Lineage: Bacteria
Description: partial 16S ribosomal RNA
Rfam family: Bacterial small subunit ribosomal RNA
Source: RNAcentral